Molecule: transfer RNA, 62 nt
Filed under: Polididus armatissimus
Lineage: Eukaryota; Metazoa; Arthropoda; Insecta; Hemiptera; Reduviidae
Description: tRNA-Cys
Source: RNAcentral
GGCUUUAUAGUCAAUGAAUGAUAUCAGACUGCAAUUCUGAAGUAGUAUUAAUACUAAAGCUU